This 325-nucleotide ribosomal RNA is filed under the name uncultured eukaryote. Its description in RNAcentral is "partial 18S ribosomal RNA". It matches the Rfam family "Eukaryotic small subunit ribosomal RNA", at positions 1470 to 1796 of the family's 1831-position model. The record is from RNAcentral.
CCCUUAGAUGUUCUGGGCCGCACGCGCGCUACACUGACGAAUGCAACGAGCUUAUAACCUUGGCCGAAAGGUCUGGGUAAUCUCCAAAUUUCGUCGUGAUGGGGAUAGAUUAUUGCAAUUAUUAAUCUUCAACGAGGAAUGCCUAGUAAGCGUGAGUCAUCAGCUCACGUUGAUUACGUCCCUGCCCUUUGUACACACCGCCCGUCGCUCCUACCGAUUGAAUGUGCUGGUGAAAAGUUCGGAUUAGGAGUGGGGGAUAGCAAUAUUUCCCGCUUCCGAGAAAAUCUUUAAACCCUCCCAUUUAGAGGAAGGAGAAGUCGUAACA